This 283-nucleotide ribosomal RNA is filed under the name uncultured Megasphaera sp. RNAcentral describes it as "partial 16S ribosomal RNA". It matches the Rfam family "Bacterial small subunit ribosomal RNA", at positions 72 to 339 of the family's 1533-position model. Lineage: Bacteria; Bacillati; Bacillota; Negativicutes; Veillonellales; Veillonellaceae. The record is from RNAcentral.
UGAGAAGCUUGCUUCUUAUCAAUUCGAGUGGCAAACGGGUGAGUAACGCGUAAGCAACCUGCCCUUUAGAUGGGGACAACAGCUGGAAACGGCUGCUAAUACCGAAUACGUUCUUUUUGUCGCAUGGCAGAGAGAAGAAAGGGAGGCUCUUUGGAGCUUUCGCUGAAGGAGGGGCUUGCGUCUGAUUAGCUAGUUGGAGGGGUAACGGCCCACCUAGUCUUCGAUGGAUAGGGGUUCUGAGAGGAAGGUCCCCACAUUGGAACUGAGACACGGUCCAAACUCC